AGGGAGCGCUGCCCAUGGGGGUGGGGAAAGGCACGGCUCAUGCGUGGAUGGAAGGAGGCAGGGAGCGCCCGGCCACCAUUGCCGGUGAGCCAUCGUAUGGCUACUUUCGUGCCGUGCCGACCCCUUCGAGAAGAUCGACAAGGAUGUUGCCAACUGCAUCCGCCCUCUCCGGUUCCACCACAAGAUCUCUACCUGAAUUCUGGGGCAUGAGAUGCGGAACACAGGCAGAUCGAGGAAGCUUUUGAAUUGCAUGCUCAUGAAUAGGCCAAUAAUUAUUUGGCUUUGUUGUAGGACAAGUGCCUGAUUGUCCUGCUGUACAGGCAUACAACUUGAUGGUCUGGUCUUUGAAAGCCCUAGAUCAGAAAUGGGGGAUGCAUGUUUCUCUACACAGCUCAUUGACGGUGAUGGGGUUUUCAAUGUCUCCGAAUUGGAGAACUUCAUGAAGGAAGCUAGAUUGGGUGAAUGCAGGCUCUCGUAUGCUGUUGUAUCAAUAAUGGGCCCGCAAAGUAGUGGGAAAAGUACACUUCUGAAUCAUCUUUUUGGCACCAAUUUUAGAAAGAUGGAUGCUUUCAAAGGAAGGUGUGCUACUAUUUCUUUAUAUUUGUCACUAAACUUACGCGGGGCACGAUAUGGGGGCUGAUGGCCGGCCUCGCCACCGUCGAUGCG
Long non-coding RNA from Panicum virgatum (switchgrass), 666 nucleotides. RefSeq lists it as uncharacterized. The transcript is spliced from 5 exons. NCBI's taxonomy places the organism in Eukaryota, Viridiplantae, Streptophyta, Magnoliopsida, Poales, Poaceae. The record is from RefSeq and is a predicted model, not a curated record.